UUUAUAAAGAUGUGACACAAACAGAAAAAAUAUGCAGAUUGCAAACUCAUAUAUCAGAGUAACUGAGUAAGGUUCGAUGAAUACUAAAAAUAUCAAAACAGAAUGCAGCUCACAUAGGACUCGCCAAAUACGCAUUGUAGACUUGUAGUCGACAUUUUAGAUCAUCUUUAUUGUAUUACUUUUUAAAAAAAAGGUGGAGUGAACUGAAUUUCUUUCAAACUCUAUUUUAUUUUGGAGUUAAAAAUAUAAUGAGUAAAAUAUAAAUACAUUACUUUAUUUUUUAUAAUCUCAUUUUUACUUUAUUAUGAAAUAAAAAAUAAAGCAAAGGUGAAGACAAUUUUACUCAAAUUUAUUUUAAAAUGAAAAAUAAAAUAGGAUUAAAGAUGAUCUCAUGACUAACUUAUGUAAUCAUACUAAAACGUUGGAUGUUUUCAUAUCAUUAUUGGGUAGUUGUUUAUAGUGAGAGAAAACAAAUGUACAGCAUCAUAUGCAAAAUUUUGUUUGGUUAUAAAUUCAAAAUUUCACAAAGACUUAAAUCACUAUAAUAAUAAUUUUGUUUUUUUUUUGUUAAAAUGAUUGUGCUUGAAUUUCGAAGCAAAAUUAUAUUUCUCAAUGGUAAUGAGUUGGGGGAAAGACUUUAUAUUCUCUAGGAUUUGGUAUGGUUAAUUAGAGGAACUUUUGACUUUAAUGCAUAAAACAUGCCACCGGCUUCUGUAUAGUUUGGUAUGCAGCAUUUAAUGCAUGGAUAUUGCUUUUAUGUUUCACCUAAAUGUAAUUCCCGGUUCACAAAUACCUCGUGGGUUACAUCUUGCCGGUCCCAUUUCAUAAGAGAGAUCAAUUUAAAAGAUAGAAUUGAACAUCCUAUUGAUUCCUAAAUCGAUAUAUUUUCUCUGUUUUAACUUUUAACCCUUUAUAUAAUCAAUCAACUUCUAGCUUAGUGACAAGUUUCAAGGUUUUGCAUUAAGAGGCCUAUUUUUUUUGUUUGUAGCCUCGUAGGUUUUCAAUUGUUUUUGCCGUUAGUAUGCUACAACAAUGAAAUUAUAAAGUAAUCAAAGUUUCAAAAAAAAAACAAUGAAAUUAAAGUUUGUAAAAUCUACCAAUAGAAGACUCUGAAGAUCGUUAUCAAAUUAUUUAUGUUAUUUAUUUAUUUUGUUACAUGCACACACAAUCAUCGUCUUUUGUAAUCGUUGUAAUUAGCAUCGCUUUAAUUAAAUCACAUCGCGAUAUAUGUAAAAAAACUUGAAAAAUAUUUUGACUAUUUAUAUCAUUAAGGUACACUUAUUUUAGAAUAAAAAUGUGAUCGUCCAGGGGACAUAGAACAAAGGAGGGAGACUAAGUUCAGUUCUGAGCUUUAUUAAAAUGUGAUCCAAGGUCUUAUUGGUGUUUAACGAGCUUACAAAGGAAGCUGUAUGAUAUAAAUAUUCUUUUAAGAUUGGGAUUAGAAUUCUCCAGAAGGCAAAAACACUUGCUGAAGAUUUGGAUAAUCACCACGUUCCAAUGGCAGAGACGGGAAAUAAUUUUGUUGAGAACAUGAAUACUAACCUACACUAUUUAGAAUGGGUGCAUAUAGUUUAAGUUUUAAUAAAUUAUAUUAAAUUUUCAAAUGUUGUUCGGUUGAGUGUGUGGCUCCGCCACGUCCGUAUGCAUGGGUUAGUGGUUAAGCGUAGAGGUCGGUUAUGUGGUGACAUUGGGGAGAGAUCUAAAGAAAGAAGCAACCCCUCGUUUUGCAAUUUGUCAAAAGAUAGAACCUGACCAGGUCAAUAGUGGAGAUUCCAAAUUCUAAAAAAAAAACCGAAAUCCAUCUUCUAAACGACCAAAUAAACAAACAUAUAGAUCUUUAUUCAAAGAAAACUCUGUACAUAAAAUAAUUUUACCCACAACGUUUUACAUAUCCUUGCAUAUAUUUUGUGGCUUUUAUGAUAGCUAUAUGGCUGACUUUUGUAAUAAACAAAAAUAUGUCCGUCGUACUUUCUAUGUGUAUUUUUAAAACACACAUUAAAGAAAUUUACGAAACACCUGCUUUGUAUUGGUUAUCAAAAAGAUUUUGUCUGUUGUAAUUCACUCUGUAUAUUUCAAAGAUGAAACAUCAAAAAUGUAUGACAUAAAAAUGUAAUACUCCUUUUUCUUAUUCUCUCAGUUCCCAAAUUUUUUUUUUCUAGAAUAAUCACGCAUAUUAAAAAUAUAAUAAAUAUUUACAAUUAAAUUUAAUUUACUAUACAUUUUCCAGUAAAUAUCAACUAAUAGUAUUUAACCAAUUUAAAUAUUUUCAAUUAAUAUUUUUUUAAAGUAUACAACUUUUCAAUAUUAAUUAUUAAAAGUAUCUUAUUUUUUUUAGAAAAUCUAUCAUUUUGUAACAAAAAAUAAAUCUAUAAAAUCCUAUUUUUGGGAACGCAAAAAGUAUAAUUUAUGAUAUUUUUUUUAAAAUGGCAUAGAUGUAUGCGACACUUAAUAUAAUUUUACUGCAUAACUUAUCUAGAAUGUCGCUCGAAAAGUUAAACGAUUCAAUUUAAAAUUUAUAUGAUUCAUAUACCUAAUUCAAAUUUUGGGAUUUUCUCAAACUAUCAGAAUCUGAAACUUUUGUUUACUAUUCUCUGGAUAUCUAUGCUCAACUAUUAUUCCUAUAUUAUAACCACGAUGACAACAUAGUAUAUUUCAUAUAUGUCACUUCUUAUCCAUAUAUUUUGUAUAUGCAUUUUAUCCAAAUAUGACAAAGUCAGUAGUUUCGAGGUAUGUUAUUAUUUAUUUCUAGAGGCAUUCAAUCCGGAAAAAUUGUUUCGAAGCAAAAUUAAACAACCGAAAUAAUCAAUCUAGAAAGCAAAUUAUAUUUGAUUAUGUGUAUAAUAGAUAUAUCUAUGUUUUCUAUCUGAAAACUGGAUUUGUAUUCCAACCGAGUCUAAGAAAAUGAUUUAAAACCUAAAAAGGUUAUAACCUAAUUUGAUUUAAAACAAAUCCAAAUAGAAAACAAAAUUGUUUGAGCCGUCCAUAUUAAAUUAAUUAAAAGUUUAAAACCAAGAAUAUAUAUUUAAGAAAAUUUACAUUAAAUAUUUUUAUUCAUAACUUGGAAAUUUGUUGUCAAAUAAUAAUAAUAAUUAAUCGGAAAUUCGAAACAUAAGGUUUCCAAAAUGACAAAUUAUAUGUUAUAUAUGUAUGUGACCAUUUGGCACGAAAGAGUUUGCAUUCAUUCAUCUGUCGGAUUGUCUAGUCAUCUGCUCGAGUUAUUGGUCCGUUAGUUUUCUAUAGUAAGGUUGUAGUUAUAAUAUAAUGUGAAGACAUGGAAAAAAAGGAAAAUAAAACUUUUGGCUGUGUCAAAAUAUUUUCUUAAUGGUUAAUUAUACUAGUUGGCAUAUAUCUUCAGUGGUUGUCGCCUCGUCGGUAGGUAUCUGGUGUUAAAGACAGUAAAAGAGAAGCUUCUAAAAAUUCAUACGUAUAAAUAUAUAAACAUAUAAUGCAUGAUACCGAUUAUUUAUACAUGAAUUGAUAUUGACGUGAAAACAAAAAUAAUUGAUGUUGACGUAUAUGAAGAGAGAUUGCCACGAUGAUGGUAGAAGCCGACAUAAAGCUAAAGUCCACAACUUUUUAUUUUUCUUUUUAAAGAUACUAACAAUAAGACCAUAAUUUAAGAUUUCAUCAUUUAUUAUUUGUUUAUUUUUCUUCACACGUAGCUGUGAUUAUUUUUAUGAGAUGGUAAACAAUGACGAAACACAGAGCGACUUUCAAUUUGAAAUGCAGUCUUAAUUAAUUUUAAGAAAGAAAAGCCAUACAACUUUUUCAAAAAAUAUUUUGUUUUAAAAAUAUAAAUCAAAUAGUUUUGCUAAAUUUUUUAUUAUUAUAACAAUUAUAUAUAUGGAAAAUAACCAAUUGAAACAUAAUUCAAAUACCUUUACUUUUAGCUUAAUUUUUUAAUUUGUCAAAAAUUACUAAUCUAAUGUGUUUGGCCAUUUGAAUAUUUUAUUAUGUAAAGUAUAUAUUUUACAAAUAUUUUAGGUAUUUUUUAAAAGUUAUGGGCUGAAAAAGAUGUCAUCCUAGUGUUUUUUUUUUGAAUAAAACAUCCCAGUGUUCUAUUAUCAAACAACUUAUGCCACUAAAGUAAAGUAACUUUUGGAAAAGAAAGCUGAAAUAAUUAUGUACUCAAUCCGUUCCCGAAAAUAAAAUUUUUUAGAUUUUUUCUUGUUCCACAAAGAUAAAUUUUCUAUAUUGUUAAGAUAUUUUUUUAUAUUUUUGAGAAACAUUAAUUGAGAAUAUUUGAAUUAAUUAAAUGUCAUUGGUAGAAAGUUAUUAGAAAGUGUAUGAUAAAUAAAAAAUAAAUUAAAUUAUAAAUAUAAAUAUUUAUUAAUUUUUUAAUAAACACCUAUACUCUAGAAAAUUUUACUUUCAUGAAAGGGAUAAAGUAUAUUUUAAGGCUGGAAACCCAUGUUUCUGUAGCUUCUUCUCAGGGUGGACCUGAUUAUAAGGCAACGAAAUUCGACUCAACAUAAACCCUAAUGUAUUAAUCUACUCGAUGUGGAGCUGAAAUGCUUUUCAGUUUUCCGUUGAAAAUAAAGAACAUGUUUCUUGGGAGAGAAGAAACCUAUGAUCUUGUUGGUUACAUCUUCAUCAUACACUCUUGAAAAGCUAAAAGAGUUUCACGUUUGUUUGUUUAUUUAUUUGUGAUUGAGUAGUACUGAAUUAGGAUCUUUUUUUUACUGAAUUAGGAUCUUUAUUGGAAUAUUUAGAAUAUACGGCAUAUAAAUAUUUUCUUCGAUCGUGCGGUGCUUGAAUGAUUAAAUAAAGUUGGUAGCCAUAACUCUAAAGUUGUGAUUGAUAUUUAUGAAACUUUUUCUCUAAAGAAGUCCAUGACUUUAAGAUAUUGACGAUGAAAUCCAUACGGUUUACGGAAUCCAUACGGUUUACGGAAUCUUCAGUUAAUUGAGACAAUUAUUCCCCUAAAAUUGUGAUUUGAGAAAAUGGUUAACAUGUUGACCAGUCUUUUGAUAAAAUAAGUUUUUGAUCUCCAUGUACUUGAAAUUUUCUUUUCUUUCUUUUUAUUUUAGAAAAUUUCUUCAAAAAUAUGCAUUAUGCAUAUGUGAAUCUAAAUAAUAACACAAAACAAUAGUACUAUAUUCUAUUAUGCUACAUAAGUACAAAUAUCAUAUACAUUAUGUGGUAAAAGUGAAAUGCAGAAGAAUGUAUAGAUAUUCUUAUACUACAGUUGUUAUAUCUUUAAUGAAAUCUGCGUAUGGAUACUAACGUCUUAUUUGCAAAUGAGAACUUGCUACCCAUAACUACAUAAUGAAUCUAUGGCUAUUAAUGAAUUUUGUAAGAUUAAUGAUUGUGCUACUUUUCUAAUCUCUCAAUUAUCAAAUCUUGUUUUACCAUUUAUAAUUUAGUGGAACUGUGGAAACUUGUCUUCGUAUGUAUGGAAUAUCAUCAGUAUCGGAGUCUUCAGACAUUUCCAAAUGAUAUUUCUGCACAUCGCAUUCGAAUACUGGACACCAUUUUUGUUAGCACAUCACAUUUGCUCUUUUGUUUUUCAUCUCCCUUUUCACACAAUCAUAAUUCAUAUAUCUUUAGUCAUGUCUUAUUUUCUAGGGAAAUUGCGCUCUUUCUUUUUCCAUUUUUUUUUCAAGCUAAUGGUUUUAUCUAUAUUUUUAUAUGUUUUAAUUAUUUUGAAUAAAUCCAAAACUAUUAACAGAUAAUCAAAUACUUUGGCCAAAUCUAACUGCCUCAGAAAUAGACGAGAAAUAAAGAGCAUACAAAUGGGAAGCAAACCGAGAAGCCCAACUGGCUAGUGUCCAACACAUGGCAAUCUACGUACAACUGUCACCGGUCCCUAGCAUCUACCUCUAACCAACUUCUUGAGUACUAUUAUCUAUAUAUACAUACAUACAAAUAAGUCACAUAACAAAACCAUCACCCACAUCCCCAUAAUAUUAUCAUCACGUCUUUAUGAAACUAACAAACAUUAUUUUAGUCAUAGUACGUAUACAUGACAACAUAGCAGCUAUUGGAUUGGAUCAACAAAAACGGCUGUAAUGAUACGAGAUAUUUCAUGUACCAAUGAUCGGAUAAUUUUGAAUAUUUUAUGUAUGAAGAAUUUUAUGGUGUUUGAUAUAUAUUCUCCUGUGCCAAGAAUCUCAUAAGCCAAUGGUUAGACACCCUGCUCCUUCAUUUGACAUCACAUUUCAAUCCCUCUCCCUAGCGUCACGCCUUAGAAAGAUAUUUAUGAGAAAAUGUCACUUUCUAAAUUUCCUAUAGGAUUAGGUAAUUUUGGAAUGUGGUAUAUCAACACUUGUUCAUCAAACUUUGACCAUACAAACCUAACACCUAACAUAUAUAUUGGUUAUUUUGGUCGAUUUUAACUAAACACUUACAUUUAGUACACAACUAAGCUAGUACUUUUGUUUAUCAAUAUCUUACAAGUUACAAACAAGUCAUGAUUCAUGAACCAAGUUUAUAUAUAGGUGGUAGGUUAUUAUGGAAAAGUUUCGAUAGACCAUAUAUAUUGAAAACAUUUUAUAGACAAAUACCAAAAAGUGGUAAGAGUCUAAUAGUUUUUUAAUUUCUUUUUAUAAAAAACCAUAUAUUAGGCUUUUAAAAAAACCUAUCUUAAGCUUAAAAAAUUAUUGAUCGGCAAGUUUAUUUCUGUUUUUAAAGGGUUGAAUGAGGUUUAAGAGUAAGGUCAAGUAUAAUUACGAUGCUUCUUACUAUUUAGAUAAUGCAGUUUCAAGGUAUGGGAGAAUUAGUAUUUAGUAACUCGUAAGAUAUGGUACUGGUAUAGUUUUGGAGUGUGGAGUGGAGAAAUUCUAUAAUCGUGCAUAAAUAAGCUGAACUAACUACGCUCAUAUGGUCAAUGAAAGUGUGCUGUCCAUGGGAUAUAAGAAUGUUACCAGGCCCAAUUAUAAACUUAGUAGUUUUUUUUUUUGGUCAAAAAUAUAAACUUAGUAGUAUAUAACUCAAUUAGUGACUAGCUAUUGUUGUCAUCUUCCUCUAUACACAAUUACAUAAUUCAGAGAGGUCGCAACAAUGGCUUCGGUCAUUCCCAAAUUGAAAUCUCAACAGCUACCUCUGUGCUUAACGAGCGAGUUACAUCCUCUUCUCUCUCGCCGAUAUAUACGCAAACUCAGUUCAAUGACCGAUUUGCAUCGUCGAGAUGUUUCUGUGCUAGUUCUCGUUGGUGAUGCUCAAUACUAUCUUCUUCCUUUGUUAAAAAACCUUUGAAGUUGGUUCAUUGUAAUGCCAUUGAUCUAUAACAUUUUGCACAGUUGUUACAUAAAACAUUUGUUAAAAUGAUAAUGUUAUGCAUUUCUAGACUAGUUACCAGUGUUUAGGUCCCUGUUAAUUAAGAAUGCUGAAUUUUUAUUUGAUCGAUCAGUGCGUAAUAAUGGCCUGAUAAUUGUAGCUAUUGCUACAUAUAUAGUUAGAACUUAGAAGCAACGUAGCAUUCUGAUGAAGACUUAAAACCACCUUACCCAUCGUUGCACCAAACUUUUGUGUUUCUUGCAGUUUCCCUCUCAACACAAUGGCCUCACAUUCAAUCAUUUGGUCUCUUUUCUUAGUUUCUUAUCUCAUCUCUCCCUUUAGUGUCAAUGCACAAGGACCUGCUGCUUCACCGGCAACCUCCACCACCACUGCUCCGCCUCCAACCGGCCUUGUUCACCCUGUUUCAGCUACUCCGCCUCCAGCAUCUCUGAGUACACCUCCACUAGCUCGGGAAAUGGAGUUUGCUGACAUCCCCAAGAAAAGAUACAAACAUGGUAAGAAGACAGAUCGGGAUCGAAGCUAUUCCCUUUCAUAUUGAUGACUUUGAAUCAAGACAGGUAUAUAUAUAUAGGUGCUGAGUCUCAGCUUGCAGAGGAAGGAAAAUAAGAAAGAAGUAGCAGAAGCCAAAGAGAAACAAAGAUUAAGGAAGAGAUGAAUACCCAGAGCCAGACAACAACUGAUGUUUCGACAACAUCUUGCAAAAAGCAUGUGAAUGAUGAUAAUACCACUUUCCUUGCUAACUUCAAGGAUCGUUUCAGUGCAUUCGUCAAUACCCCAAUGGAUGAACACAAGACUUGUUUCAAAAACACCAUGAACAAGGUUUGUUCCCAGUUUUCUGUAUCUUCUUGGAUGUCGAAGGAUGAUGCGGUUGAUGACGUGAAGAAAGUGGAGAGUCACUCGCCUCUUUAGCGCAGCAGAUUUUUGCCAGUUUCAACUGAAAACUUAAAUUUUCUGCUUAAUAAAAUCCACUGUUUUUCUCUUUAUGUGUUCUUAAUAAAAUAGAGUGUUUUUUCUUUGAAGUUUUUCUUUUAAUUUUCUUGCUUUGGAUUUUAGAAGUUCAACAAGCUCCCUUGCAUAAAUGUGCAAAACUACUCUUCAAGUC
Brassica rapa (field mustard) is the source of this 8341-nucleotide long non-coding RNA. RefSeq lists it as uncharacterized. The record is from RefSeq and is a predicted model, not a curated record. NCBI's taxonomy places the organism in Eukaryota, Viridiplantae, Streptophyta, Magnoliopsida, Brassicales, Brassicaceae.